This 797-nucleotide ribosomal RNA is filed under the name Liponysella sp. APGD-2010. Its description in RNAcentral is "eukaryotic LSU rRNA". It matches the Rfam family "Eukaryotic large subunit ribosomal RNA", at positions 143 to 803 of the family's 3401-position model. Lineage: Eukaryota; Metazoa; Arthropoda; Arachnida; Mesostigmata; Laelapidae. The record is from RNAcentral.
AUGAGGUGUAAAGGUGUCUUGUGUCUAACAGAGAUGAGACCAAAUUAUUAUUGAGUGAGUGCUCGAAGAAGGUGAAAAGCCUGUGUGGUCAUGUCAGCCUGUUAGACCGAGAUACUGAAGAGUCUAGUUGUUUGAGAGUACAACUUAAAGCUGGUGGUAAAUUUCAUCAAAGGCUAAAUAUCUGAGGGGACUAAUAGCGAACAAGUACCAUGAGGGAAAGUUGAAAAGAACUCUGACGAGAGAGUUCAAUAGUACGUGAAACCAUACUGAGUAAAACAGAUAACUGUGCUGUUACGUUGUGUGCCUAUCAACAGUUUACUUGGUGUUGCCAUGCCGUGAGUGUAGGUUGUCGAUUCAACUGAUUGCUUACGGUUAGCAUAGCUGAGGAUUCUGUGCAUUAGUGCGCACUCUUCCAUUGAGAAACUAUGCUGCUGCGGCAUCGGUGUAGAAUAGUCCGUACCUAGUGCGUUGUUCUAUGCUGGGUGCAGCUAGCAGGCGUAGUUUGGCUGUACGACAGCUGUUGGUUGCGUUUACGAAUCGGUUACUGCUGUAUCUGCGAAUAGGUUAAUUCCGUUUUGCGGCGAGCAUGUUAUCGAAGGUAAGCAACUAGCCAUCAAUGGUUAGCAUUAGUUAUUUGACCCGUCUUGAAACACGGACCAAGGAGUUCAAAUGGCACGCGAGUCAUUGGGUUUAAUCACCCGAAGGCGAAGUGAAAUGCAAACAUAUUGUUAUUUGUGGUUGUUCCGCAACUAAGCGAUAAGCUACCUAUGCUUCUGGCAUUUGUAGACUACAAGCGU